RNAcentral lists this transfer RNA (75 nucleotides) under Mesoplasma entomophilum. RNAcentral describes it as "tRNA-Cys". It matches the Rfam family "tRNA". From Rfam's summary of the family: Transfer RNA (tRNA) molecules are approximately 80 nucleotides in length. Their secondary structure includes four short double-helical elements and three loops (D, anti-codon, and T loops). The record is from RNAcentral. RNAcentral also lists the same sequence under 7 other names. Lineage: Bacteria; Bacillati; Mycoplasmatota; Mollicutes; Entomoplasmatales; Entomoplasmataceae.
GGCGGCAUAGCCAAGUGGCUAAGGCAUGGGUCUGCAACACCCUGAUCAUCGGUUCGAAUCCGAUUGCCGCCUCCA